GUAUAAGAGACAGCAGUCGCCGCGGGAAUACAGAGGGUGCGAGCGUUAAUCGGAUUUACUGGGCGUAAAGCGUGCGUAGGCGGCUUCUUAAGUCGGAUGUGAAAUCCCUGAGCUUAACUUAGGAAUUGCAUUCGAUACUGGGAAGCUAGAGUAUGGGAGAGGAUGGUAGAAUUCCAGGUGUAGCGGUGAAAUGCGUAGAGAUCUGGAGGAAUACCGAUGGCGAAGGCAGCCAUCUGGCCUAAUACUGACGCUGAGGUACGAAAGCAUGGGGAGCAAACAGGAUUAGAGACCCGUGUAGUCCCUGUCUCUUAUAC
RNAcentral lists this ribosomal RNA (314 nucleotides) under uncultured bacterium. RNAcentral's name for it is "partial 16S ribosomal RNA". It matches the Rfam family "Bacterial small subunit ribosomal RNA", at positions 495 to 807 of the family's 1533-position model. The record is from RNAcentral.